This 300-nucleotide ribosomal RNA is filed under the name Staphylococcus aureus. RNAcentral describes it as "partial 23S ribosomal RNA". It matches the Rfam family "Bacterial large subunit ribosomal RNA", at positions 2625 to 2925 of the family's 2925-position model. The record is from RNAcentral. Lineage: Bacteria; Bacillati; Bacillota; Bacilli; Caryophanales; Staphylococcaceae.
GACAGUUCGGUCCCUAUCCGUCGUGGGCGUAGGAAAUUUGAGAGGAGCUGUCCUUAGUACGAGAGGACCGGGAUGGACAUACCUCUGGUGUACCAGUUGUCGUGCCAACGGCAUAGCUGGGUAGCUAUGUGUGGACGGGAUAAGUGCUGAAAGCAUCUAAGCAUGAAGCCCCCCUCAAGAUGAGAUUUCCCAACUUCGGUUAUAAGAUCCCUCAAAGAUGAUGAGGUUAAUAGGUUCGAGGUGGAAGCAUGGUGACAUGUGGAGCUGACGAAUACUAAUCGAUCGAAGACUUAAUCAAAA